This 249-nucleotide ribosomal RNA is filed under the name Vibrio cholerae. RNAcentral's name for it is "partial 23S ribosomal RNA". It matches the Rfam family "Bacterial large subunit ribosomal RNA", at positions 901 to 1148 of the family's 2925-position model. The record is from RNAcentral. Lineage: Bacteria; Pseudomonadati; Pseudomonadota; Gammaproteobacteria; Vibrionales; Vibrionaceae.
GGUAGAGCACUGUUUGGACUAGGGGCCCGUCAGGGGUUACUGAAUCCAGAUAAACUCCGAAUUCCAUAUAUCUAUACGCGGGAGUCAGACUGCGAGUGAUAAGAUCCGUAGUCGAAAGGGAAACAGCCCAGAUCACCGGUUAAGGUCCCCAAAUCUAUGCUAAGUGGAAAAGGAUGUGGAGUUGCGUAGACAACUAGGACGUUGGCUUAGAAGCAGCCAUCAUUCAAAGAGUGCGUAAUAGCUCACUAG